GAGUGGCAGACGGGUGAGUAACGCGUGGGAAUCUACCCAGAACUUCGGAACAACUGAGGGAAACUUCAGCUAAUACCGGAUACGCCCUACGGGGGAAAGAUUUAUCGGUUCUGGAUGAGCCCGCGUUGGAUUAGCUAGUUGGUGAGGUAAAAGCUCACCAAGGCGACGAUCCAUAGCUGGUCUGAGAGGAUGAUCAGCCACACUGGGACUGAGACACGGCCCAGACUCCUACGGGAGGCAGCAGUGGGGAAUAUUGGACAAUGGGCGAAAGCCUGAUCCAGCCAUGCCGCGUGAGUGAUGAAGGCCUUAGGGUUGUAAAGCUCUUUUAGUGGGGAAGAUAAUGACGGUACCCACAGAAAAAGCCCCGGCUAACUCCGUGCCAGCAGCCGCGGUAAUACG
This 399-nucleotide ribosomal RNA is filed under the name uncultured bacterium. Its description in RNAcentral is "bacterial SSU rRNA". It matches the Rfam family "Bacterial small subunit ribosomal RNA", at positions 93 to 527 of the family's 1533-position model. The record is from RNAcentral.